RNAcentral lists this transfer RNA (72 nucleotides) under Microcaldota archaeon. RNAcentral describes it as "tRNA-Val". It matches the Rfam family "tRNA". From Rfam's summary of the family: Transfer RNA (tRNA) molecules are approximately 80 nucleotides in length. Their secondary structure includes four short double-helical elements and three loops (D, anti-codon, and T loops). The record is from RNAcentral. Lineage: Archaea; Nanobdellati; Microcaldota.
GGGCCUAUAGUCGAGUGGUAAGAUGUUCCCUUGACGUGGGAAAGAUUCCCGGUUCGAUUCCGGGUAGGCCCA